CACACACACACACACACACACACACACAAUAAUAUUUUAAACAAAGAAUAUAGCCCUUUCUCUUACACACCCACACACAUGGACAAAAUGCUCUUAACUUUUUUUAUUUUGUUUGAGAGUGUGUGUCUGGUGUUGGCACAUGUGUGUAAAAAGACAGUGAAGUGAAGGUGGCCUGUGUUUAGUGUCCAGACCUGGCAGAUUGUGACCUUAUCAAUGUGAAACUCUUAAGAUAAAUUAUUCAUAGCACCUGUUUGAUGUCUCCGGCCAAAGAAUGACAAAGGUGUAAGAUUUAAGAUCCUUCUUAAAAGCCAUGAAUAUCAGCUGCUGUGCUACCUGUCUCCCCUUAGAGUAGAAAAAGAGGGAGAUAGAGAGCUGCAUUUUAAAGCGCAAAAAUGAACAAUUUGUUUCCUAACAGGGGGUGUAGAAGAGAGCGACCACAGACGAGCCAUACAGUACUGUUUAGUAUGCCAAUCAUCAUUUGCACAUUAAUAAAACUCAACAGGAACUCAAGCUACCAUUUACAGUGUGCAAGGUGUGGCUUCUGUCUUACUGUUACUGUAUGUGACUCACAGGUGUCCAGUGAUCAUUGAAGCGGGCCACACACACUGUCGCUGCCAGCUUUCUCCUCACUUCAAUGUGAAACGUGAAGCAGAGUCUGAGUGAUUCGGUGGAGCUAACCUUGCCCUUUUGUAACUGAGUUUCUGUUGUGUCUCCUCGCAGGCAGAGAGCGACACGGCGGCCAGGCGUUCGGAAACACAGCGGGAUGGUCGGUGUGCUGCAAGCGACAGACACUGGGUUGAGAUGUAAUUUAGGGCGAGUGCUGUUUGAUUACAGAAUGGUGACGGUGAUACCACUGCUUAGUAUGAGCGUUGGGCUCACUUGACAUGACAGCCCUGCACUGACUGGCUCAUUGUACUGAUUCAUACAUGUGAUUAACUUUUUUUCAUGGAAUGACCCCGGCUUCCUAAGCAUCACCACCCUCCAUCAGAGCUCUAGAUACAAGUCACUGCGGUAAAACACACACACACACACACACACACACACACACACACACACACACACACACACACACACACACACACACACACACACACACACACACACACACACACACACACACACACACAGUCACCAUCAAUGAACGUCAGCAGAGCAACCACAGCGCCACAGAGGAGCCUGGAGACCAACAAAGCUGGUUGAUACUGUAACACUGAGUGGAUCAUGCUCUUGAACUUGCUUUCAAAAUGAUGUAAUAUUACAAAAAGGCAAUGCAACACAGCAAAGAUCUUAAUAAAAACACAUCAAUCUCGA
This is a long non-coding RNA of Perca fluviatilis (European perch), 1311 nucleotides long. RefSeq lists it as uncharacterized. The record is from RefSeq and is a predicted model, not a curated record. Lineage: Eukaryota; Metazoa; Chordata; Actinopteri; Perciformes; Percidae. The transcript is spliced from 2 exons.